GUGCUUGCUUUAGCAGCACAUAUAUUAGAAAAGAUUAGGAUGCUCCCUGUGCAAGGAUGACAUGCAGAUUUGUGAAGAGUUCCAUAUUUUA
RNAcentral lists this small nuclear RNA (91 nucleotides) under Physeter macrocephalus (sperm whale). The record is from RNAcentral. Lineage: Eukaryota; Metazoa; Chordata; Mammalia; Artiodactyla; Physeteridae.